AGAGUUUGAUCAUGGCUCAGAACGAACGCUGGCGGCAGGCUUAACACAUGCAAGUCGAGCGAGGUCUUCGGGCCUAGCGGCGGACGGGUUAGUAACGCGUGGGAACGUGCCCUUCACUACGGAAUAGUCCCGGGAAACUGGGUUUAAUACCGUAUACGCCCUUCGGGGGAAAGAAUUUCGGUGAAGGAUCGGCCCGCGUCUGAUUAGGUAGUUGGUGGGGUAAUGGCCUACCAAGCCUACGAUCAGUAGCUGGUUUUAGAGGAUGAUCAGCAACACUGGGACUGAGACACGGCCCAGACUCCUACGGGAGGCAGCAGUGGGGAAUCUUAGACAAUGGGCGCAAGCCUGAUCUAGCCAUGCCGCGUGAGUGAUGAAGGCCUUAGGGUCGUAAAGCUCUUUCGCUGGGGAAGAUAAUGACGGUACCCAGUAAAGAAACCCCGGCUAACUCCGUGCCAGCAGCCGCGGUAAUACGGAGGGGGUUAGCGUUGUUCGGAAUUACUGGGCGUAAAGCGCGCGUAGGCGGACCAGAAAGUUGGGGGUGAAAUCCCGGGGCUCAACCCCGGAACGGCCUCCAAAACUCCUGGUCUUGAGUUCGAGAGAGGUGAGUGGAAUUCCGAGUGUAGAGGUGAAAUUCGUAGAUAUUCGGAGGAACACCAGUGGCGAAGGCGACUCACUGGCUCGAUACUGACGCUGAGGUGCGAAAGUGUGGGGAGCAAACAGGAUUAGAUACCCUGGUAGUCCACACCGUAAACGAUGAAUGCCAGUCGUCGGG
RNAcentral lists this ribosomal RNA (772 nucleotides) under uncultured bacterium. RNAcentral's name for it is "bacterial SSU rRNA". It matches the Rfam family "Bacterial small subunit ribosomal RNA", at positions 8 to 827 of the family's 1533-position model. The record is from RNAcentral.